CGGCAGGCUACACAUGCAGUCGAGCGGUAGCACAGAGAGCUUGCUCUCGGGUGACGAGCGGCGGACGGGUGAGUAAUGUCUGGGAAACUGCCUGAUGGAGGGGGAUAACUACUGGAAACGGUAGCUAAUACCGCAUAACGUCGCAAGACCAAAGUGGGGGACCUUCGGGCCUCAUGCCAUCAGAUGUGCCCAGAUGGGAUUAGCUAGUAGGUGGGGUAACGGCUCACCUAGGCGACGAUCCCUAGCUGGUCUGAGAGGAUGACCAGCCACACUGGAACUGAGACACGGUCCAGACUCCUACGGGAGGCAGCAGUGGGGAAUAUUGCACAAUGGGCGCAAGCCUGAUGCAGCCAUGCCGCGUGUGUGAAGAAGGCCUUCGGGUUGUAAAGCACUUUCAGCGGGGAGGAAGGCGAUAAGGUUAAUAACCUUGGCGAUUGACGUUACCCGCAGAAGAAGCACCGGCUAACUCCGUGCCAGCAGCCGCGGUAAUACGGAGGGUGCAAGCGUUAAUCGGAAUUACUGGGCGUAAAGCGCACGCAGGCGGUCUGUCAAGUCGGAUGUGAAAUCCCCGGGCUCAACCUGGGAACUGCAUUCGAAACUGGCAGGCUAGAGUCUUGUAGAGGGGGGUAGAAUUCCAGGUGUAGCGGUGAAAUGCGUAGAGAUCUGGAGGAAUACCGGUGGCGAAGGCGGCCCCCUGGACAAAGACUGACGCUCAGGUGCGAAAGCGUGGGGAGCAAACAGGAUUAGAUACCCUGGUAGUCCACGCCGUAAACGAUGUCGAUUUGGAGGUUGUGCCCUUGAGGCGUGGCUUCCGGAGCUAACGCGUUAAAUCGACCGCCUGGGGAGUACGGCCGCAAGGUUAAAACUCAAAUGAAUUGACGGGGGCCCGCACAAGCGGUGGAGCAUGUGGUUUAAUUCGAUGCAACGCGAAGAACCUUACCUGGUCUUGACAUCCACAGAACUUACCAGAGAUGGAUUGGUGCCUUCGGGAACUGUGAGACAGGUGCUGCAUGGCUGUCGUCAGCUCGUGUUGUGAAAUGUUGGGUUAAGUCCCGCAACGAGCGCAACCCUUAUCCUUUGUUGCCAGCGGUUAGGCCGGGAACUCAAAGGAGACUGCCAGUGAUAAACUGGAGGAAGGUGGGGAUGACGUCAAGUCAUCAUGGCCCUUACGACCAGGGCUACACACGUGCUACAAUGGCAUAUACAAAGAGAAGCGACCUCGCGAGAGCAAGCGGACCUCAUAAAGUAUGUCGUAGUCCGGAUUGGAGUCUGCAACUCGACUCCAUGAAGUCGGAAUCGCUAGUAAUCGUAGAUCAGAAUGCUACGGUGAAUACGUUCCCGGGCCUUGUACACACCGCCCGUCACACCAUGGGAGUGGGUUGCAAAAGAAGUAGGUAGCUUAACCUCGGAGACGCUACCAC
Molecule: ribosomal RNA, 1421 nt
Filed under: Klebsiella variicola subsp. variicola
Lineage: Bacteria; Pseudomonadati; Pseudomonadota; Gammaproteobacteria; Enterobacterales; Enterobacteriaceae
Description: bacterial SSU rRNA
Rfam family: Bacterial small subunit ribosomal RNA
Source: RNAcentral